GAUCAUGGCUCAGGAUGAACGCUGGCGGCGUGCCUAACACAUGCAAGUCGAACGAAGCUUGACGGAUGAUUUCUUCGGAAUGAAACCUGAUAUGACUUAGUGGCGGACGGGUGAGUAACACGUGAGCAACCUGCCUUUCAGAGGGGGGAUAACGGCUGGAAACGGUCGCUAAUACCGCAUGAUGUGUUCGGAUGGCAUCAUCUGAACAUCAAAGAUUUAUCGCUAAAAGA
Molecule: ribosomal RNA, 230 nt
Filed under: uncultured bacterium
Lineage: Bacteria
Description: partial 16S ribosomal RNA
Rfam family: Bacterial small subunit ribosomal RNA
Source: RNAcentral